This 775-nucleotide ribosomal RNA is filed under the name uncultured Neocallimastigales. Its description in RNAcentral is "partial large subunit ribosomal RNA". It matches the Rfam family "Eukaryotic large subunit ribosomal RNA", at positions 24 to 646 of the family's 3401-position model. The record is from RNAcentral. Lineage: Eukaryota; Fungi; Neocallimastigomycota; Neocallimastigomycetes; Neocallimastigales.
GUAGUCUCGCACAGAUGCAUAUCAAUAAGCGGAGGAAAAGAAACUAACAAGGAUUCCCCUAGUAACGGCGAGUGAAGCGGGAAGAGCUCAAAUUUGAAAUCUUAAAGGGUUUCCCUUUACGAAUUGUAGUUUAAAGAAGUGUUUUCUGUUGAGGUUUUGGUAAAAGUUCUUUGGAAUAGGACAUCAUAGAGGGUGAGAAUCCCGUAUUUGACCUUUACUUUCAACUUUGUGAUACACUUUCAAAGAGUCGGAUUGUUUGGGAAUGCAGUCCAAAAUGGGUGGUAAAUUUCAUCUAAAGCUAAAUAUUGGCGAGAGACCGAUAGCGAACAAGUACCGUGAGGGAAAGAUGAAAAGAACUUUGAAAAGAGAGUUAAACAGUACGUGAAAUUGUCAAAAGGGAAGCGUUUGACACCAGUGUUGUUUUUCUGAAAAUCAAUUAAAGAACUGUUUAUGCUAAGCUGUUUAGACUUUAUCAGCUAACUGUUUAGUUUUGAGCUUUUCUUUAAUGCACUUUUCAGUUAACAAGUCAACAUCAAUUUCUUUUGCUGUAAAAAAGCUUGAGGAAGGUGGCUUGAGAUUCGUCUUAAGUGUUUAUAGCCUCUUGCCUAUGCAGUCGGAGAGAUUGAGGUCUGCAGCGUAGAUCCUUCGGGGCUAAAUGCAUUUGUGCUAAGUUAUAAGCAUUUUAUAGACAACUUGUUGACUAUGAUUUGUCUUGUAGCUUACUCGCUUAUGUUAUUUUACCUACGCUUAGGAUGUUGAUCUGUAGUGCGUGCGC